This 200-nucleotide ribosomal RNA is filed under the name uncultured archaeon. Its description in RNAcentral is "partial 16S ribosomal RNA". It matches the Rfam family "Archaeal small subunit ribosomal RNA", at positions 521 to 725 of the family's 1478-position model. The record is from RNAcentral.
GUAGCUGGCCGACAAGUUACCGGGAAAUCACCCGCCCAACGGGUGGGCGUCGGUAAAACUGGCCGGCUUGGAACCGGAAGGCUCAGAGAGUACGUCCGGGGUAGGAGUGAAAUCCCGUAAUCCCGGACGGACUACCGAUGGCGAAAGCACUCUGAGAAGACGGCUUCGACAGUGAGGGACGAAAGCUCGGGUCUCAAACC